AACACAAUUACUGGAUCAUGUUUAGUUUUGUAAGAAACUGCCAAUCUGUUUUCCAAAGUAGCUGUGUCAUUUUGCAUUUCCAUCAACAAU
Molecule: microRNA precursor, 90 nt
Filed under: Marmota monax (woodchuck)
Lineage: Eukaryota; Metazoa; Chordata; Mammalia; Rodentia; Sciuridae
Source: RNAcentral